AGCGAACGCUGGCGGCAGGCCUAACACAUGCAAGUCGAACGAACUCUUCGGAGUUAGUGGCGGACGGGUGAGUAACAAGUGGGAACGUGCCUGUUGGUUCGGAAUAACUUAGGGAAACUUGUGAUAAUACCGAAUGUGCCCUUCGGGGGAAAGAUUUAUCGCCAUUAGAGCGGCCCGCGUCUGAUUAGCUAGUUGGUGAGGUAACGGCUCACCAAGGCGACGAUCAGUAGCUGGUCUGAGAGGAUGACCAGCCACACUGGGACUGAGACACGGCCCAGGCUCCUACAGGAGGCAGCAGUGGAGAAUCUUACGCAAUGUGCGAAAGCCUGACGCCUCCAUGCCGCGUGAAUGAUGAAGGUCUUAGGAUUAUAAACUUCUUUCACCGGGUACGAUAAUAACGGUACCCGGAUAAGAAGCCCCGGCUAACUUCGUG
Molecule: ribosomal RNA, 433 nt
Filed under: uncultured bacterium
Lineage: Bacteria
Description: partial 16S ribosomal RNA
Rfam family: Bacterial small subunit ribosomal RNA
Source: RNAcentral